This 456-nucleotide ribosomal RNA is filed under the name uncultured bacterium. RNAcentral describes it as "bacterial SSU rRNA". It matches the Rfam family "Bacterial small subunit ribosomal RNA", at positions 28 to 480 of the family's 1533-position model. The record is from RNAcentral.
GACGAACGCUGGCGGCGUGCUUAACACAUGCAAGUGGAGCGACGAACCGGGGCUUGCCCCGGGGCAGAGCCGCGAACGGGUGAGUAACACGUGGGUAACCUGCCUCAAUGAUUGGGACAACCCGGGGAAACUCGGGCUAAUACCAAAUGUGUUCACUCCUUCUAAGGGGAGUGAGGAAAGGAAGCUUCGGCCUCCGCAUUGAGAUGGGCCCGCGGCCCAUUAGCUUGUUGGUGAGGUAACGGCUCACCAAGGCUUCGAUGGGUAGCUGGUCUGAGAGGACGAUCAGCCACACUGGGACUGAGACACGGCCCAGACUCCUACGGGAGGCAGCAGUGGGAAUCUUGCACAAUGCGCGAAAGCGUGAUGCAGCAACGCCGCGUGGGGGAAGACGGCCUGGUGUAACCCUUUCAGUUGGACGAGACUCGUCGUGAAUAGCGGUUCGGAGUGACGGUACCG